GCGGGUGUGGCGGAACAGGCAGACGCAAGGGACUUAAAAUCCCUCGCCCCCAAGGCGUGCCGGUUCGAGUCCGGCCACCCGCA
Molecule: transfer RNA, 83 nt
Filed under: Lachnospiraceae bacterium
Lineage: Bacteria; Bacillati; Bacillota; Clostridia; Lachnospirales; Lachnospiraceae
Description: tRNA-Leu
Rfam family: tRNA
About the family: Transfer RNA (tRNA) molecules are approximately 80 nucleotides in length.
Source: RNAcentral